UACGGAGGGUGCAAGCGUUAUCCGGAUUCACUGGGUUUAAAGGGUGCGUAGGUGGGCAUGUAAGUCAGAGGUGAAAUCCCCGAGCUUAACUUGGGAACUGCCUUUGAUACUAUAUGUCUUGAAUGUUGUGGAGGUAAGCGGAAUAUGUCAUGUAGCGGUGAAAUGCUUAGAUAUGACAUGGAACACCGAUUGCGAAGGCAGCUUGCUACACAAAUAUUGACACUGAGGCACGAAAGCGUGGGGAGCAAACAGGAUUAGAUACCCUGGUAGUCCACGCCCUAAACUAUGGAUACUCGACAUCAGCGAUAGACAGUUGGUGUCUGAGCGAAAGCAUUAAGUAUCCCACCUGGGAAGUACGACCGCAAGGUUGAA
This 372-nucleotide ribosomal RNA is filed under the name uncultured bacterium. Its description in RNAcentral is "bacterial SSU rRNA". It matches the Rfam family "Bacterial small subunit ribosomal RNA", at positions 524 to 898 of the family's 1533-position model. The record is from RNAcentral.